RNAcentral lists this ribosomal RNA (792 nucleotides) under uncultured archaeon. RNAcentral's name for it is "bacterial SSU rRNA". It matches the Rfam family "Archaeal small subunit ribosomal RNA", at positions 85 to 876 of the family's 1478-position model. The record is from RNAcentral.
ACGGCUCAGUAACACGUGGACAACCUACCCUCAGCACGGGGAUGAACCCGGGAAACUGGGUAUAAUACCCGAUAGUUCUGGUUAGCUGGAAUGCUUCCAGGACGAAAGCUCCGGCGGCCGAGGAUGGGUCUGCGGGCCUAUCAGGUAGUAGUGGGUGUAAUGUACCUACUAGCCUACGACGGGUACGGGUCGUGAGAGCGAGAGCCCGGAGAUGGAUUCUGAGACACGAAUCCAGGCCCUACGGGGUGCAGCAGGCGCGAAAACUUUACAAUGCUGGCAACAGCGAUAAGGGGACCUCGAGUGCCAGGAUACAAUCUUGGCUGUCGUAAUGCCUAAAAAGCAUUGCAUAGCAAGGGCCGGGCAAGACCGGUGCCAGCCGCCGCGGUAACACCGGCGGCUCGAGUGGUGACCGCUAUUAUUGGGUCUAAAGGGUCUGUAGCCGGCCGGAUAAGUCUUUUGGGAAAUCUGGCAGCUUAACUGUCAGGCUUUCAGAAGAUACUGUUUCGGCUCGAGGCCGGGAGAGGUGAGAGGUACUUCAGGGGUAGGGGUGAAAUCUUGUAAUCCUUGAAGGACCACCAGUGGCGAAGGCGUCUCACCAGAACGGUCCUGACGGCAAGGGACGAAAGCUAGGGGCACGAACCGGAUUAGAUACCCGGGUAGUCCUAGCCGUAAACGAUACUCGCUAGGUGUCGGCCACGGUGCGACCGUGGUCGGUGCCGUASGGAAGCCGUGAAGCGAGCCACCUGRGAAGUACGGCCGCAAGGCUGAAACUUAAAGGAAUUGGCGGGGGAG